RNAcentral lists this small nuclear RNA (164 nucleotides) under Colobus angolensis palliatus. RNAcentral's name for it is "U1 spliceosomal RNA (ENSCANG00000019878.1)". It matches the Rfam family "U1 spliceosomal RNA". From Rfam's summary of the family: U1 is a small nuclear RNA (snRNA) component of the spliceosome (involved in pre-mRNA splicing). Its 5' end forms complementary base pairs with the 5' splice junction, thus defining the 5' donor site of an intron. Lineage: Eukaryota; Metazoa; Chordata; Mammalia; Primates; Cercopithecidae. The record is from Rfam by way of RNAcentral.
AUACUUACCUGGCAGGGGAGAUACCAUGAUCACGAAGGUGGUUUUCCCAGGGCGAGGCUUAUCCAUUGCACUCCGGAUGUGCUGACCCCUGCGAUUUCCCCAAAUGUGAGAAACUCGACUGCAUAAUUUGUGAUAGUGGGGGACUGCGUUCGCGCUUUCCCCUG